This 253-nucleotide ribosomal RNA is filed under the name uncultured bacterium. Its description in RNAcentral is "partial 16S ribosomal RNA". It matches the Rfam family "Bacterial small subunit ribosomal RNA", at positions 524 to 776 of the family's 1533-position model. The record is from RNAcentral.
UACGUAGGGUGCGAGCGUUGUCCGGAAUUAUUGGGCGUAAAGAGCUCGUAGGCGGUUUGUCGCGUCGACUGUGAAAACCUGGGGCUUAACUCUGGGCCUGCAGUCGAUACGGGCAGACUUGAGUUCGGUAGGGGAGACUGGAAUUCCUGGUGUAGCGGUGAAAUGCGCAGAUAUCAGGAGGAACACCGGUGGCGAAGGCGGGUCUCUGGACCGAUACUGACGCUGAGGCGCGAAAGCCAGGGGAGCGAACGGG